Molecule: transfer RNA, 72 nt
Filed under: Ictidomys tridecemlineatus (thirteen-lined ground squirrel)
Lineage: Eukaryota; Metazoa; Chordata; Mammalia; Rodentia; Sciuridae
Description: Spermophilus tridecemlineatus (thirteen-lined ground squirrel) tRNA
Rfam family: tRNA
About the family: Transfer RNA (tRNA) molecules are approximately 80 nucleotides in length. Their secondary structure includes four short double-helical elements and three loops (D, anti-codon, and T loops).
Source: Rfam by way of RNAcentral
AGGGUUGUGGCUCAGUUGUAGAGCACUCGCCUAGCAUGUGUGAGGCCCUGGGUUUGAUCCUCAGCACCACAU